This 556-nucleotide ribosomal RNA is filed under the name uncultured bacterium. RNAcentral describes it as "partial 16S ribosomal RNA". It matches the Rfam family "Bacterial small subunit ribosomal RNA", at positions 355 to 902 of the family's 1533-position model. The record is from RNAcentral.
UGGGGAAUAUUGGACAAUGGGCGCAAGCCUGAUCCAGCAAUGCCGCGUGUGUGAAGAAGGCCUUCGGGUUGUAAAGCACUUUUAUCAGGAGCGAAACGCUGUCGGCUAAUACCCGGCGGAACUGACGGUACCUGAGGAAUAAGCACCGGCUAACUUCGUGCCAGCAGCCGCGGCAAUACGAAGGGUGCAAGCGUUAAUCGGAAUUACUGGGCGUAAAGCGUGCGUAGGCGGUUUCUUAAGUCUGCUGUGAAAUCCCCGGGCUCAACCUGGGAAUGGCAGUGGAUACUGGGAGGCUAGAGUGUGUCAGAGGGUGGUGGAAUUCCCGGUGUAGCGGUGAAAUGCGUAGAGAUCGGGAGGAACAUCAGUGGCGAAGGCGGCCACCUGGGACAACACUGACGCUGAGGCACGAAAGCGUGGGGAGCAAACAGGAUUAGAUACCCUGGUAGUCCACGCCCUAAACGAUGCGAACUGGAUGUUGGUCUCAACUCGGAGAUCAGUGUCGAAGCUAACGCGUUAAGUUCGCCGCCUGGGGAGUACGGUCGCAAGACUGAAACUC